This 1104-nucleotide long non-coding RNA is filed under the name Oryctolagus cuniculus (rabbit). RNAcentral's name for it is "lncRNA (ENSOCUG00000031573.1)". The record is from RNAcentral. Lineage: Eukaryota; Metazoa; Chordata; Mammalia; Lagomorpha; Leporidae.
GUGUGGCCCUCCCGCGGCCUGCAGUGCGCCCCAGGACUCUCAGCCGUCACCGGGGGACCCCGGCUCCCCACCGAGCGCCGCGCUGCUGACCUUGGGCGACUGGCUGCAUUUUCCACCUGGGACGCUUCGGGUUCACGUGAACUUACAGGGACACAGCCGUCUCGAGCAGCCCCGCUGUUCAUAGACGUUUCUGUCCCCACAGUACCUCCCUGUGUUGGAAACGCAGGACGGUGUCACCCUCCGGCCACCAGAGCGAGCCCUUUCACCCCGGCACAGCGGACUCCCGGCAGCCCCAGCCAAGCCUGGGCGCGCUCCUCGCUGUCCCCACACCCUCCACCACGGGGCACACAGCGGGCGCUGCGGGCAGUCACUGGGGGGCACACAGCGGGCGCUGCGGGCAGUCACUGGGGUCCACACAGCGGGCGCUGCGGGCAGUCACUGGGGUCCACACAGCGGGCGCUGCGGGCAGUCACUGGGGUCCACACAGCGGGCGCUGCGGGCAGUCACUGGGGGCACACAGCGGGCGCUGCGGGCAGUCACUGGGGGCACACAGCGGGCGCUGCGGGCAGUCACUGGGGGGCACACAGUGGGCGCUGCGGGCAGUCACUGGGGGGCACACAGCGGGCGCUGCGGGCAGUCACUGGGGGGCACACAGUGGGUAGUCACUGGGGGGCACACAGCGGGCACUGCGGGCAGUCACUGGGGGGCACACAGCGGGCACUGCGGGCAGUCACUGGGGGGCACACAGCGGGCGCUGCGGGCAGUCACUGGGGGCACACAGCGGGCGCUGCGGGCAGUCACUGGGGGUCCACACAGCAGGCGCUGCGGGCAGUCACUGGGGGCACACAGCGGGCGCUGCGGGCAGUCACUGGGGAUGCUUUCUUACUCAUCUCCGUGUGCCCAGGCGCGAAGAAUGCGAAUUCUCUCAUUGACGGGGACUGUUCUCCAACAGCUGCCUUACAGCUCAUUGAUCGGGAAAACCAAGUUUUUACAUACCUCAGUUUACACUGGCUCCUCGGACGCUCUAUCUAUCUCAAAGGCAGCGUUUUCUCCCUAGGCACGAAAGGGUUCACAAUUACAUCGGAUUUCAGAUUCUCUACGUAA